Molecule: ribosomal RNA, 1018 nt
Filed under: Comamonas sp.
Lineage: Bacteria; Pseudomonadati; Pseudomonadota; Betaproteobacteria; Burkholderiales; Comamonadaceae
Description: bacterial SSU rRNA
Rfam family: Bacterial small subunit ribosomal RNA
Source: RNAcentral
GCCUUACCAUGCAAGUCGAACGGCAGCACGGACUUCGGUCUGGUGGCGAGUGGCGAACGGGUGAGUAAUACAUCGGAACGUGCCUAGUAGUGGGGGAUAACUACUCGAAAGAGUGGCUAAUACCGCAUGAGAUCUAUGGAUGAAAGCAGGGGACCUUAGGGCCUUGUGCUACUGGAGCGGCCGAUGGCAGAUUAGGUAGUUGGUGGGAUAAAAGCUUACCAAGCCGACGAUCUGUAGCUGGUCUGAGAGGACGAUCAGCCACACUGGGACUGAGACACGGCCCAGACUCCUACGGGAGGCAGCAGUGGGGAAUUUUGGACAAUGGGCGCAAGCCUGAUCCAGCAAUGCCGCGUGCAGGAUGAAGGCCUUCGGGUUGUAAACUGCUUUUGUACGGAACGAAAAGGCGCCUUCUAAUACAGGGCGCUCAUGACGGUACCGUAAGAAUAAGCACCGGCUAACUACGUGCCAGCAGCCGCGGUAAUACGUAGGGUGCGAGCGUUAAUCGGAAUUACUGGGCGUAAAGCGUGCGCAGGCGGUUUUGUAAGACAGUGGUGAAAUCCCCGGGCUCAACCUGGGAACUGCCAUUGUGACUGCAAGGCUGGAGUGCGGCAGAGGGGGAUGGAAUUCCGCGUGUAGCAGUGAAAUGCGUAGAUAUGCGGAGGAACACCGAUGGCGAAGGCAAUCCCCUGGGCCUGCACUGACGCUCAUGCACGAAAGCGUGGGGAGCAAACAGGAUUAGAUACCCUGGUAGUCCACGCCCUAAACGAUGUCAACUGGUUGUUGGGGAUUUAUUUCUUCAGUAACGAAGCUAACGCGUGAAGUUGACCGCCUGGGGAGUACGGCCGCAAGGUUAAAACUCAAAGGAAUUGACGGGGACCCGCACAAGCGGUGGAUGAUGUUCUUUAAUUCGAUGCAACGCGAAAAACCUUACCCACCUUUGACAUGUACGGAAGACUGCAGAGAUGCGGUUGUGCUCGAAAGAGAGCCGUAACACAGGUGCUGCAUGGCUGUCGUCAGC